This 973-nucleotide small RNA is filed under the name uncultured fungus. Its description in RNAcentral is "eukaryotic LSU rRNA". The stretch from base 541 to 973 matches the Rfam family "Eukaryotic large subunit ribosomal RNA", at positions 1 to 429 of the family's 3401-position model. Lineage: Eukaryota; Fungi. The record is from RNAcentral.
UCCGUAGGUGAACCUGCGGAAGGAUCAUUAAAACAAUAAUGAAUGUCGGGUGGAGGGCGCUUCGGUGCUCUUACCCGUGUAUUCAACCAAACCCGCUCGUGUAUUUGGAUCAAAAAAACAAACAAAAUUUUUAACGAUAAUAAUUAAACAAACUUUCAACAACGGAUCUCUUGGCUCUCGCAUCGAUGAAGAACGCAGCGAAAUGCGAUAAGUAGUGUGAAUUGCAGAACUUUGUGAACCAUCGAAUCUUUGAACGCAAAUUGCGCCUUCUUUCGGAAGGCAUGUCUGUUUGAGGGCACCAUUUAACAAAUAAUGUGCGCGUCGUUUUUACGAGCGACGUGCACACGUUGAUGAGCUUUUCCGAAAAAACCAGGUUUUUUUGGUGGCGCAUAAUGAACAGCGUGGGCUUUUUCUUCGAUUCUCGUGUAGUAAAUGUUCAACGCUUGGGUUGAGAAAAAGUGCGUGCCGCGCAAUGGGUGUGGCGAAUUUUACCCCUGCCCCAAUGCCACUCUUUCCCUGCGAAAGAACAAUUUUUAUUCAGGGCCUCAAAUCAGACAAGAGUACCCGCUGAACUUAAGCAUAUCAAUAAGCGGAGGAAAAGAAACUAACAAGGAUUCCCCUAGUAACGGCGAGUGAAGCGGAAACAGCUCAAAUUUUAAAUCUGGCUGCUUUGUAGUCCGAGUUGUAAUUUGAAGGAGUCUUGCCGCUGGCAAAACGAUGGCACAAGUCCUCUGGAACGGGGCAUCGUAGAGGGUGAGAAUCCCGUCUCUGGUCAUCACGCGCUGGCAUAUGGCAGGCAUCCGAAGAGUCGAGUUGUUUGGGAUUGCAGCUCCAAAUGGGUGGUAAACUCCAUCUAAGGCUAAAUAUUGGCGAGAGGCCGAUAGCGAACAAGUACCGUGAGGGAAAGAUGAAAAGAACUUUGAAAAGAGAGUAAAACAGUACGUGAAAUUGUUGAAAGGGAAACGCUUGAAGU